AAUGCCUGCUGCUUCUCCAAGCCUUCAUGGAAGGCGAUUUCUUUCCAGCGCAUCUCCAGAGAUGGCUAGGCCCUGCUCUCCCUGGACACCCUGCUCUGUCCCAUCCUGAGGACAGUGCCUAGAGCAGACUGGCCCAUGUCGUGUCCUUUCCCAAAGUCCAGAGGCAAGGAGACAGGCACUGACAGACAUUUGAGCCAGAUAAAUAGGAGAGGCCCAGGGUUCUACUGGCUACACAAAGAGCAGACAGAGUUCAGAGAGGGAGUGCACAUCUAUGACCAGGAGUCCAGGAAAGAGUAAUGGAAGAAGAGAUAUCAGAGCUCAACUCAGUCCUUAAGGAGGCUGCUGGUCUGGCCGCCCUGAGAACCUGCGUUCCAUCUGGGCAAGCAGUGUGUCCCUCGCUAGUCCACGCCCAGAGCUCUGAGUCCCGUGGAGUCAGGAGAACUAGGGAGGGAAAUGUGAUCCCUCCUCACCCCCACCCCAAGCUGCCUGACCCUGCUGCACUGCCAGGUGCCUGAGAGUCCAUCUGCAAACAGCGCAGUCACCUACACCUUGCAAAGCAGAAUGGGCACUGACGGGAGUUCAGAGAGAGGUCUACUUCUCCCCGGAGUGGUUAAAGAAGUGGGGAGCCUAAAGUCUUCCAGUUGACCCUUGCAAUGCCAUUCUCUUUUGGAGGUGAGUCCUUCUUCCCCAAGCCCCUCCUGGAUCAGUGAGGACCAUCUAGAUUUUUGGACAGAAGACUAAGGAAGGGGCUUGAGGCUGAGGAGGCCUUCACUAUACUCUCCCCCUGGCCUCUGCAGAGCCCACACCUGGCAGUUCCUGUGUGUGAAUCCCAAGCAAUCCACACGUUCAGGUUUGAUUUGCCCUGUGGAGAAGCUUGGAGACCUCAGAGUGGAGGCAGUGAUGCCAAUGUCUACUUGAGUCAAGGAAGAUGGCAGCCAAAGAUUUCCAGCCACGAGCAAUGCUUCCUCCAAGAUGACCAGGCUGGGCUUUAUCCCGAGCUCCGUUCAAACCACACAGACAGCAAGCAGGGGUGCGGAGAUGCAGUCCGCUGAGCUGGCCCUGGGGCCAGGCACCCUUCUGGAGGAGUCGGACAAGCCCCACAGUGAAGAAACUACCAGCCAGGGCUCUAGUCCCUGGGACCGAUCCCCACCCGUGCUGUCCGGUCCAUUUUGGCUUACUUUGCAGACAUGGUCACAGACGUACUAAGCCUUUCAAGGUGGCUUGGUAAGAAGAGUAGGCUUGGAUUGUACGGAAUCAGAGUGAGGGGUGGUGGCCCAGGUGAAAGGCUGGCUCCCAAAAAGAUGGGAAGUUUGAGUCUGUUUUCCACUGCCAAGAGUUUUGGAAACCUUGGGUUCAUCUAAGCCAGCACCCUGGAGAGAUGCCAGCACAGAGACUCUGGACCUUACAGGGGGUCCAGGACCUUACAGGACCCGACCCUGCAGGAGCCAGAGCCUUUCCCUGGGGUCCAAAAGAAGCUGAG
This 1480-nucleotide long non-coding RNA is filed under the name Heterocephalus glaber (naked mole-rat). RNAcentral's name for it is "lncRNA (ENSHGLG00000038364.1)". Lineage: Eukaryota; Metazoa; Chordata; Mammalia; Rodentia; Bathyergidae. The record is from RNAcentral.